Molecule: unclassified non-coding RNA, 2529 nt
Filed under: Leishmania donovani
Lineage: Eukaryota; Euglenozoa; Kinetoplastea; Trypanosomatida; Trypanosomatidae
Description: gene:LdHU3.08.0190(CDS-product:GPI-GlcNAc_transfe rase_complex_PIG-H_component_putative)
Source: RNAcentral
CCCGGAGGACCUCACUCUGUCGCCACAGUCGCCAAAGGACUGCACCCCUUUUCAGCCCGCCUGCCCCCCGUCCCCCCAAAUCUUCUUCCCUUCUAUUCCACCUCUAUGGAAGGGAACGCGUGUACACAUAGAGGCGUGUACACAAGUGCGUACGCUUCCCUGCAGCACGUUGAGAGUGCAACGUGUGCCGUGUCUGUGCCUUGUGUCUUUGUGUGACUUGCUCAACAGCAACGCGAUACAGGAGAACAGCAGUUUCUCUGUCUCUCCCCUCCUGCCCUUCAUGCCUCGUACCUCUGCGCCCCCCCCUCCCACACCUCUCACGAACCCCCCUACGCCCGUCUCUCUCAGCAACGGCUUCGCUGUCCGCUAUCACGGAGGGCAACGCAGCCCUUAGAGAGUGAGAGAAGCUCGUGCAGACACCAGCGUCGACUGCUCAGCUGCUGAAUCUACUGCGGUACAGGCCUUGAGCCGGCGGCACAGCGUGUAGCAAGACGAAGGUGCCCACGAAGGCGUCGCUCUCAAUCAUCCAGACGAGAUGCAGCCGCGACGCUCAAAGGUAGUCCCGGGCCCGCUCUUCUACCCGGAGCGGACGACAACGAUGGUGGCUGCCAAGAGAUGGCCGUCCCCGCCAGCCGCGUCGGGGUCUACCUCUGCUCCUGCGACGAAGCCCUCUGCUUCGUCCGAGGCACCGACAGCAUCAACGGCAGCGAUGGGGCAGCGCAGAAGCGGUGCUCAGCGUGCGCUAGUGCUCAGCGUCGCCGCAGCGCCGGUGCUGCCGCCGGGGGCCACCGCCACAGGCGGUGCGAUGGAGGUGCUCUCCCCAAGCCUCAACGUGUACCGUGCCGGCAGCAGCGGGGUGACCCUCACCAUCGCUCCCAGGACCACCGUUCUCGUGGCCGAUCACGUCACGAACACCGGUGCGGUGGUGAGGUUGGAGCAAGUGGACUACAGCAAGGCCAUGCGUGCGUACCGCGUGUGCCGGCAAGAGGGGGGCGCUGUAGCCGAGGAGCCAUCGAAAGGCUGGCACGCUAGCUCUGCCACGCCGGCGACACCGUUGCCGCCGCCGCUGACCUCGCCGCACGGGAUCUGCUCAAGCUACACGACGAGCCUGAACACUUUCUCGGGGACUGCAAGCCCCAACGGCCGCGCCAGCUACGCCGCCCGUGAUGAUGACACGGCACUCGGCCACGACCCGGCGCCGUGGCGCGUUGUGUUCCUGCGGCUGUUCGGCGCUACGGAUAUGGUGCUGCUCACCGUCGCCGUGGCGUGCUUCCUGGUGGUGGUGUCGCGACUAAGCAUGAUAAAGUACGGCCGAACAGAUGGGCAGAGCGCAAUGUCGUGGUCGUCCCUGCCGUGGUUGGAGGUGGCGCUGGCAGCGCUCACCUCUGGACGCUCGGUGGUGGAGGAGGCUGUGGCACCGUCUGGCUUGUCGCCCGCGUCUGGUGAAGGCUUGGCGCAGGGAGUCACACGGGGGCCCCCGGGGACCUCAUCGUCGACUGCAGCGACUGUGAUUUCGGUCCCUGGCACCAAAGGGGUGCUCUUCGCGUCCUAUACCCAGGCUACAAGCACCCCGGCCUUGGACACGAGCGUCACGCUCGUCCUCCUGCUCUUCUCUACUUUCCUCUUGGUAAAGCGGCUCAGUGGCGCGCUGAGUCGGGUGUACGUGGAGGAAGUGCUCGUCAUGCGCGGCGUUGGCCUGCAGUUCUCCGCGUACGGAAUAUUCAACACACUGCGGUACCGGCACUUCGUCGACCUCCUCAUGCUGCGCUCACUUGUCAUCCACGACGCGUUCUUCCGGUACCAGCCGAUGUUCUUCCUCUCCUCGUCCGUGGAGAAUAAGGCGGAACGGAUUGUGUACUUUCCUGAUACGCUGCCGCGGCUGGCGGUUCUGCGGCCCGUUUUGAACGGCAUUCGCGGGGUGCUCUACGGAGAGCCAGAGGAGGGGCCAAGCCUGGGGGAGCUGGAGGAGCGCUGGAAGAAGUCAGCCAGUGAGAUUUCCGAUGGCGACUUUUUUACGGAGGACAGCUUUGCCGAAGACACAGUGACGACGCCAGAUGAUGCAUGCUUCUCCGACGCCACAGAUCGCGACGAGGAUUGAAGCAGGUGCAGGUGCUAAGUUUGUGUGUGUGUGUGGGGGGGGCUUGGAGGAUGAUGUGGUACAGCGCGGCGGGUGGACUUCCAGUGAAGAGAGAGGCAAUCUAGUUGAGGCCUGUCCAACGUUGCCCCCUCCCCCUUUGCAGUCAUUCUACCGCCUCCUGCUUCUGCCUUCCUGGCUCCCAACGUUUUUGUUUUGUUUUCGCAUUCCUCCUGGCUCUUCCGAAUCACAGGAGUACCCGCUAUCUCGCGUGUGUGCGUGUGUGUAUGAGGAACGCCGCUGCUUGUAUUCGUCGGAUCGUUCCUCGCGGUGUCUGCGCGACGUCUCGGCUGAUUUUGCUGUUUCUUUAUAUAUGUACGUGUAGUGUGUGUUGUGCUCUUCUCCAUCCUUGCGCUGUGCGUUGAUGCGUCGUGCGUGUGUUUGCACCAGUGUGU